Molecule: ribosomal RNA, 868 nt
Filed under: uncultured archaeon
Lineage: Archaea
Description: bacterial SSU rRNA
Rfam family: Archaeal small subunit ribosomal RNA
Source: RNAcentral
GAUAACCCCGGGAAACUGGGUAUAAUACCCGAUAGGUCUCGAUUGCUGGGAUGCAUCGAGAUUUAAAGCUCCGGCGCCUAAGGAUGGGUCUGCGGCCUAUCAGGUAGUAGUGGGUGUAGCGUACCUACUAGCCUACGACGGGUACGGGUUGUGAGAGCAAGAGCCCGGAGAUGGAUUCUGAGACACGAAUCCAGGCCCUACGGGGUGCAGCAGGCGCGAAAACUUUACAAUGCUGGCAACAGCGAUAAGGGAACCUCGAGUGCCAGGUUACAAAUCUGGCUGUCGAGAUGCCUAAAAAGCAUUUCAUAGCAAGGGCCGGGCAAGACCGGUGCCAGCCGCCGCGGUAACACCGGCGGCUCGAGUGGUAACCGUUAUUAUUGGGUCUAAAGGGUCUGUAGCCGGCCGGAUAAGUCUCUUGAGAAAUCUGGCAGCUUAACUGUCAGGCUUUCAGGAGAUACUGUCUGGCUCGAGGCCGGGAGAGGUGAGAGGUACUUCAGGGGUAGGGGUGAAAUCUUGUAAUCCUUGAAGGACCACCAGUGGCGAAGGCGUCUCACCAGAACGGACCUGACGGCAAGGGACGAACGCUAGGGGCACGAACCGGAUUAGAUACCCGGGUAGUCCUAGCCGUAAACGAUACUCGCUAGGUGUCGGCCACGGUGCGACCGUUGUCGGUGCCGUAGGAAGCCGUGAAGCGAGCCACCUGGGAAGUACGGCCGCAAGGCUGAAACUUAAAGGAAUUGGCGGGGGGAGCACAACAACGGGUGGAGCUUGCGGUUUAUUGGAUUCAACGCCGGAAAUCUUACCGGGACCGACAGCAAUAUGAAGGCCAGGCUGAAGACUUUGGCCGGAUAGCUGAAAGGUGGUGCAU